This 266-nucleotide long non-coding RNA is filed under the name Monodelphis domestica (gray short-tailed opossum). Its description in RNAcentral is "lncRNA (ENSMODG00000039296.1)". The record is from RNAcentral. Lineage: Eukaryota; Metazoa; Chordata; Mammalia; Didelphimorphia; Didelphidae.
CGGAAAGGGUGGGAAGACAUUGUUUGAUGGAGUAGGGAGCUCCCACGUCAUUCUUAGUAAGUCAGCAAUUUCUUUGAAGAAGGAGGACAAAUAAGAAGGAACAGAGAACAAGGCAAGGAAGGUAUAAUAGAAUCAUAAAAGUUUCCACCUUCAUUUAUGUCAUCUCAACGCUCCUGAGGAAGUGCCUCAAGAAUGAUGAUGCCAUCCAAGACUUCAAGGCAAUUUUAUCGCCUGCAGAAGGAAAUUGGUGAUGAGCAUGCCUGAGC